GAGUUUAUCUCAGGUGAUCUGAGUUUGGGGACACACUGGACAUUUGAAAUGUUUUGAUUGGUCCAAUUUGAAUUAGAUCCUGUGUUUUAUUUUGGCUAAUUUCCACUGUGUGUUCCAACCUUGUGAUUGUUGGAUCGACCACGUUAGUUAAUGAAGUCAGAUCCAACGCUCCGUGUUUUUUCCAAUUUUUAUUUAUUUUUAUUUUUUAUUUUAAAUUUCAUUUUCUUUUAAAAUUCAUAGAAAAUUCAUUUUGCAUCCAAAAAAUACCAAGAUAAUUUCUAAAAUUC
This 287-nucleotide long non-coding RNA is filed under the name Lathyrus oleraceus (garden pea). Its description in RNAcentral is "Pisum sativum (pea) long non-coding RNA (PSAT_LNC001684)". Lineage: Eukaryota; Viridiplantae; Streptophyta; Magnoliopsida; Fabales; Fabaceae. The record is from RNAcentral.